GACGAACGCUGGCGGCGUGCUUAACACAUGCCAGUCGAACGGAAAGGCCCUGCUUUUGUGGGGUGCUCGAGUGGCGAACGGGUGAGUAACACGUGAGUAACCUGCCCUUGACUUUGGGAUAACUUCAGGAAACUGGGGCUAAUACCGGAUAGGAGCUCCUGCUGCAUGGUGGGGGUUGGAAAGUUUCGGCGGUUGGGGAUGGACUCGCGGCUUAUCAGCUUGUUGGUGGGGUAGUGGCUUACCAAGGCUUUGACGGGUAGCCGGCCUGAGAGGGUGACCGGCCACAUGGGGACUGAGAUACGGCCCAGACUCCUACGGGAGGCAGCAGUGGGGAAGAUUGCACAAUGGGCGGAAGCCUGAUGCAGCAACGCCGCGUGCGGGAUGACGGCCUUCGGGUUGUAAACCGCUUUCGCCUGUGACGAAGCGUGAGUGACGGUAAUGGGUAAAGAAGCACCGGCUAACUACGUG
This 468-nucleotide ribosomal RNA is filed under the name uncultured bacterium. Its description in RNAcentral is "partial 16S ribosomal RNA". It matches the Rfam family "Bacterial small subunit ribosomal RNA", at positions 28 to 507 of the family's 1533-position model. The record is from RNAcentral.